This 201-nucleotide long non-coding RNA is filed under the name Gossypium raimondii (Peruvian cotton). Its description in RNAcentral is "long non-coding RNA (GRAI_LNC009374)". The record is from RNAcentral. Lineage: Eukaryota; Viridiplantae; Streptophyta; Magnoliopsida; Malvales; Malvaceae.
GUUGAGAAAGUGAGGUCGGAAGAUAAAUAAGUAUCAACCAAUCGAUUAAUUUAAUUAGAGUUGGGAGGUAAUAAUUGCUUGAUUGGUGAUUAAUCCACUCUAGACCCCCAAUCCGAAGUUUGUUACAAACUCUGAAGUAAGCUAAUUUUCUUGAUUGGUUUAUCGGUUUAAUUCAUUUGUUUUUCUUUCUUUCUUUUUUUU